This 301-nucleotide ribosomal RNA is filed under the name uncultured bacterium. Its description in RNAcentral is "partial 16S ribosomal RNA". It matches the Rfam family "Bacterial small subunit ribosomal RNA", at positions 509 to 809 of the family's 1533-position model. The record is from RNAcentral.
CAGUAGCCGCGGUAAUACGUAGGGUGCAAGCGUUGUCCGGAAUUAUUGGGCGUAAAGCGCGCGCAGGCGGAUAGGUCAGUCUGUCUUAAAAGUUCGGGGCUUAACCCCGUGAUGGGAUGGAAACUGCCAAUCUAGAGUAUCGGAGAGGAAAGUGGAAUUCCUAGUGUAGCGGUGAAAUGCGCAGAUAUUAGGAAGAACACCAGUGGCGAAGGCGACUUUCUGGACGAAAACUGACGCUGAGGCGCGAAAGCCAGGGGAGCGAACGGGAUUAGAUACCCGCGUAGUCCCUGUCUCUUAUACA